AGAUUGAACGCUGGCGGCAGGCCUAACACAUGCAAGUCGAGCGGCAGCACGGGUACUUGUACCUGGUGGCGAGCGGCGGACGGGUGAGUAAUGCCUAGGAAUCUGCCUGGUAGUGGGGGGAUAACGCUCGGAAACGGACGCUAAUACCGCAUACGUCCUACGGGAGAAAGCAGGGGACCUUCGGGCCUUGCGCUAUCGGAUGAGCCUAGGUCGGAUUAGCUAGUUGGUGAGGUAAUGGCUCACCAAGGCGACGAUCCGUAACUGGUCUGAGAGGAUGAUCAGUCACACUGGAACUGAGACACGGUCCAGACUCCUACGGGAGGCAGCAGUGGGGAAUAUUGGACAAUGGGCGAAAGCCUGAUCCAGCCAUGCCGCGUGUGCGAAGAAGGUCUUCGGAUUGUAAAGCACUUUAAGUUGGAGGAAGGCAGUUACCUAAUACGUAUCUGUUUGACGUUACGACAGAGUAAGCACCGGCUAACGUCUGUCGACCAGCA
RNAcentral lists this ribosomal RNA (494 nucleotides) under uncultured soil bacterium. RNAcentral describes it as "bacterial SSU rRNA". It matches the Rfam family "Bacterial small subunit ribosomal RNA", at positions 26 to 516 of the family's 1533-position model. The record is from RNAcentral.